GAUCAUGGCUCAGGAUGAACGCUAGCUACAGGCUUAACACAUGCAAGUCGAGGGGCAGCAUUUUAGUUUGCUUGCAAACUAAAGAUGGCGACCGGCGCACGGGUGAGUAACACGUAUCCAACCUGCCGAUAACUCGGGGAUAGCCUUUCGAAAGAAAGAUUAAUAUCCGAUAGUAUAUUUUCUCCGCAUGGCGAGAAUAUUAAAGAAUUUCGGUUAUCGAUGGGGAUGCGUUCCAUUAGUUUGUUGGG
RNAcentral lists this ribosomal RNA (248 nucleotides) under uncultured bacterium. RNAcentral describes it as "partial 16S ribosomal RNA". It matches the Rfam family "Bacterial small subunit ribosomal RNA", at positions 15 to 253 of the family's 1533-position model. The record is from RNAcentral.